RNAcentral lists this long non-coding RNA (942 nucleotides) under Anser brachyrhynchus (Pink-footed goose). Its description in RNAcentral is "lncRNA (ENSABRG00000004084.1)". The record is from RNAcentral. Lineage: Eukaryota; Metazoa; Chordata; Aves; Anseriformes; Anatidae.
AUGGGCCGCUUGGACGACCACGCCAAGAGAAGGAUCGUGGAGCUGCGCAGGGCGGGGCUGAGUUUCCGCAAAAUCAAGAAGGUGCUGGAGCUGGACAACAUCCGAGUGACACCGCAGGCCGUGUAUCUCUUCCUCAAGAGGAAGAGUGUGGAGCUGGGGCCAGCAGCGGGUGGCUGGGGUGAAGAGCAGCCCUGGCCCCCACUGCAGGGGCACGAGGCUGAGCUACACCAGUCUCCAGGCCCCCAGCCCCCCACAUUGCCCAGUGUGGCUCCCGCUGGCGGCCAGGAUGGCAAGGAGGGCACCCAGAUCGUCAGCGUGGCCUCGUUCUGCCAGGGCAGCAGGCAGCCAGGGGGGGCCCUGCCUGUGGGACUGCCUCCUGGGAAGGGUGACAGCGGUUCCACGGGUGCCCUCCCGGCUCUGGGGAGCUGCCAAAUACCAGGGACCCCAUCUGCCCCCACACAGCCGCUGCCUGUCCAAGGGCGGCUCGUCGUGCCCCCUGCCAAGAACCCAGCCCUGAUGGCGAAGAAGAUGAUCGUGGACAGGGCUCUUCUCCCGCAGAACGAGGUCAAAGAUGCCAGCACACAGACCACCCCACUGAACCCCACAAGCCCUGGAAAUCAACACCUUGCUUGGGGCGAAGCAGUGCUUCCUCCUGCUCCUGGUUCCCACACCGCUGCUGAGAAGCUGGACGCUGUACACGCAGAGAUCCAGAAGCUGAGCCAGGCGCUGCACGCGGUGCUGGAGAGGCAGUGCCGCCUGGAGCGCCAGCAGGAGCACCAGCAGCGACUGCAGCAGGAGAUGCUGAUGAUGCUGCAGCAGCUGAGCUCCACCGUGAGCCACGGCGCUGUGCCAGCCAACCAGCCCUGUGUCCCCUUCAGCAGCGUGGCAGAGCCCUCGCCCACCGUGCCAAACUUCAGCCAGUUCAAGAUGGAGCUCAUCUGA